RNAcentral lists this ribosomal RNA (301 nucleotides) under uncultured bacterium. Its description in RNAcentral is "partial 16S ribosomal RNA". It matches the Rfam family "Bacterial small subunit ribosomal RNA", at positions 509 to 807 of the family's 1533-position model. The record is from RNAcentral.
CAGCCGCCGCGGUAAUGCGUAGGGCGCGAGCGUUAAUCGGAAUUACUGGGCGUAAAGCGUGCGCAGGCGGUUGUGUAAGACAGGUGUGAAGUCCCCGGGCUUAACCUGGGAACUGCGCUUGUGACUGCACAGCUAGAGUAUGGCAGAGGGGGGUGGAAUUCCACGUGUAGCAGUGAAAUGCGUAGAGAUGUGGAGGAACACCGAAGGCGAAGGCAGCCCCCUGGGCCAAUACUGACGCUCAUGCACGAAAGCGUGGGGAGCAAACAGGAUUAGAUACCCCCGUAGUCCCUGUCUCUUAUAC